RNAcentral lists this ribosomal RNA (485 nucleotides) under uncultured bacterium. RNAcentral describes it as "partial 16S ribosomal RNA". It matches the Rfam family "Bacterial small subunit ribosomal RNA", at positions 28 to 523 of the family's 1533-position model. The record is from RNAcentral.
GACGAACGCUGGCGGCGUGCUUAACACAUGCAAGUCGAACGGUGAAAGCGGAGCUUGCUCCGCUGGAUCAGUGGCGAACGGGUGAGUAACACGUGGGCAACCUGCCCCUCACUUCGGGAUAACUCCGGGAAACCGGGGCUAAUACCGGAUAUGACCUCCUUGGGCAUCCUUGGAGGUGGAAAGUUUUUCGGUGAGGGAUGGGCCCGCGGCCUAUCAGCUUGUUGGUGAGGUAGUGGCUCACCAAGGCGACGACGGGUAGCCGGCCUGAGAGGGCGACCGGCCACACUGGGACUGAGACACGGCCCAGACUCCUACGGGAGGCAGCAGUGGGGAAUAUAGCGCAAUGGGCGAAAGCCUGACGCAGCAACGCCGCGUGCGGGAUGACGGCCUUCGGGUUGCAAACCGCUUUCAGCAGGGAAGAAGCCGCAAGGUGACGGUACCUGCAGAAGAAGCACCGGCUAACUACGUGCCAGCAGCCGCCGUAA